Molecule: ribosomal RNA, 289 nt
Filed under: uncultured Glomus
Lineage: Eukaryota; Fungi; Glomeromycota; Glomeromycetes; Glomerales; Glomeraceae
Description: partial small subunit ribosomal RNA
Rfam family: Eukaryotic small subunit ribosomal RNA
Source: RNAcentral
AGCAGCUGCGGUAAUUUCAGCUCCAAUAGUGUAUAUUAAAGUUGUUGCAGUUAAAAGCUCGUAGUUGAAUUUCGAGACCGGUUUACUGGUCGUGCUUUUGUACGUACUGGUAUAAUCGGUUUCUCUCUUCUGACGAACUAUAAUGCCAUUAAUUUGGUGUUUUAGGGAAUCAGGACUGUUACUUUGAAAAAAUUAGAGUGUUUAAAGCAGGCUCACGCUUGAAUACAUUAGCAUGGAAUAACGAAAUAGGACGUUUGAUUCUAUUUUGUUGGUUUCUAGGAUCGACGUA